Molecule: small nucleolar RNA, 127 nt
Filed under: Peromyscus maniculatus bairdii (prairie deer mouse)
Lineage: Eukaryota; Metazoa; Chordata; Mammalia; Rodentia; Cricetidae
Description: Small nucleolar RNA SNORA31 (ENSPEMG00000004684.2)
Rfam family: Small nucleolar RNA SNORA31
About the family: ACA31 (SNORA31) belongs to the H/ACA class of snoRNAs which are thought to guide the sites of modification of uridines to pseudouridines. ACA31 is predicted to guide the pseudouridylation of U3713 in 28S rRNA and U218 in 18S rRNA. This family includes the mouse homologue snoMBI-161.
Source: Rfam by way of RNAcentral
CUGUAUCCACUGAUGGACUUUGAACAGUUAGUAGCUGCUCUUCUGGUUUACUCUAAGAUGUAAAAGAAAAUGCUCCCUGAGCUUUCUGUAUGCCUUUGUAGUCAAGAUUGAUGUGGGGAGUACGUCG